GGUCGGCAACGACCACCCAGAGCCGGAAAGUUAUCCAAACUUGGUCAUUUAG
This 52-nucleotide ribosomal RNA is filed under the name Cladosporium nigrellum. Its description in RNAcentral is "partial 18S ribosomal RNA". Lineage: Eukaryota; Fungi; Ascomycota; Dothideomycetes; Cladosporiales; Cladosporiaceae. The record is from RNAcentral.